UACGUAGGGGGCAAGCGUUGUCCGGAAUCAUUGGGCGUAAAGAGCGUGUAGGCGGCCCGGUAAGUCCGCUGUGAAAGUCCAGGGCUCAACCCUGGGACGCCGGUGGAUACUGUCGGGCUCGAGUCCGGAAGAGGAGUGUGGAAUUCCUGGUGUAGCGGUGAAAUGCGCAGAUAUCAGGAGGAACACCAAUGGCGAAGGCAGCACUCUGGGACGUGACUGACGCUGAGACGCGAAAGCGUGGGGAGCAAACAGG
RNAcentral lists this ribosomal RNA (253 nucleotides) under uncultured bacterium. RNAcentral describes it as "partial 16S ribosomal RNA". It matches the Rfam family "Bacterial small subunit ribosomal RNA", at positions 524 to 776 of the family's 1533-position model. The record is from RNAcentral.